GAUGAAGAACGCAGCGAAAUGCGAUACUUGGUGUGAAUUGCAGAAUCCCGUGAACCAUCGAGUCUUUGAACGCAAGUUGCGCCCGAAGCCAUUAGGCCGAGGGCACGCCUGCCUGGGCGUCACACGUCGUUGCCCCCCCAUCUACUCCUUCGGGAUUGCGGGGGGCGGAUGAUGGCCUCCCGUGCGCCUCGUCGCGCGGUUGGCAUAAAUGCCAAGUCCUCGGCGACGCACGCCACGUCAAUCGGUGGUUGCGAAACCUCGGUUGCCCGUCGUGUGCGGUCGUCGCGCAUCGAGGGCUCGAAAAAAUUGCCGGGCUCCGGCUCGGCUUUCAACGCGACCCCAGGUCAGGCGGGGUUACCCGCUGAAUUUAAGCAUAUCAAUAAGCGGAGGA
Molecule: unclassified non-coding RNA, 391 nt
Filed under: soil metagenome
Description: partial contains 5.8S ribosomal RNA, internal transcribed spacer 2, and large subunit ribosomal RNA
Rfam family: 5.8S ribosomal RNA (bases 1-122)
Source: RNAcentral